This 492-nucleotide ribosomal RNA is filed under the name uncultured bacterium. RNAcentral describes it as "partial 16S ribosomal RNA". It matches the Rfam family "Bacterial small subunit ribosomal RNA", at positions 29 to 507 of the family's 1533-position model. The record is from RNAcentral.
AGUGAACGCUGGCGGUAGGCCUAACACAUGCAAGUCGAACGGCAGCACAGUAAGAGCUUGCUCUUACGGGUGGCGAGUGGCGGACGGGUGAGGAAUACAUCGGAAUCUACUUUUUCGUGGGGGAUAACGUAGGGAAACUUACGCUAAUACCGCAUACGACCUACGGGUGAAAGCAGGGGAUCUUCGGACCUUGCGCGAUUGAAUGAGCUGAUGUCGGAUUAGCUAGUUGGCGGGGUAAAGGCCCACCAAGGCGACGAUCCGUAGCUGGUCUGAGAGGAUGAUCGGCCACACUGGAACUGGGACACGGUCCAGACUCCUACGGGAGGCAGCAGUGGGGAAUAUUGGACAAUGGGCGCAAGCCUGAUCCAGCCAUACCGCGUGGGUGAAGAAGGCCUUCGGGUUGUAAAGCCCUUUUGUUGGGAAAGAAAAGCAGCAGGUUAAUACCCCGCUGUUCUGACGGUACCCAAAGAAUAAGCACCGGCUAACUUCGUG